UGACAUGACUUCCUUAGAUAUGCUUCGACAGUACGUAAGUGGAAAUUUGGAACACUAUGGCCAUCCGGAUGUAGUGCUACUGCUGACAGGGCGCGACGUUUACGAGACUAACUACGGCGGCAUAAACAAAAGGAUUGCGGGAAUUGCGUAUGAAGGUGGCGUUUGCACCGACAGGCGUGUUGCGCUAGCAGAAGACUCUCCGGGUGCG
Molecule: long non-coding RNA, 208 nt
Organism: Rhipicephalus sanguineus (brown dog tick)
Lineage: Eukaryota; Metazoa; Arthropoda; Arachnida; Ixodida; Ixodidae
Exons: 3
Source: RefSeq, a predicted model, not a curated record